GACAGAGGGUGCAAACGUUGUUCGGAGUUACUGGGCGUAAAGGGCGCGUAGGCGGUGUGUCAAGUCAGGCGUGAAAGCCCCGGGCUCAACCUGGGAACCGCGCUUGAGACUGGCACGCUCGAGUUCGGGAGAGGAUGGUGGAAUUCCCAGUGUAGAGGUGAAAUUCGUAGAUAUUGGGAAGAACACCGAUGGCGAAGGCAGCCAUCUGGACCGACACUGACGCUGAGGCGCGAAAGCGUGGGGAGCAAACAGG
RNAcentral lists this ribosomal RNA (253 nucleotides) under uncultured bacterium. Its description in RNAcentral is "partial 16S ribosomal RNA". It matches the Rfam family "Bacterial small subunit ribosomal RNA", at positions 524 to 776 of the family's 1533-position model. The record is from RNAcentral.